Molecule: ribosomal RNA, 270 nt
Filed under: uncultured bacterium
Lineage: Bacteria
Description: partial 16S ribosomal RNA
Rfam family: Bacterial small subunit ribosomal RNA
Source: RNAcentral
AUGGCGACCGGCGCACGGGUGAGUAACACGUAUGAAACCUGCCCGUAGCAGGGGGAUAAGCGGAAGAAAUUCCGUCUAAUACCGCGUAACAACCCGAGGAGGCAUCUCCUCGGGUUUAAAGGAAGCGAUUCCGGCUACGGAUGGUCAUGCGUCGCAUUAGCUAGUUGGCGGGGUAACGGCCCACCAAGGCGACGAUGCGUAGGGGUUCUGAGAGGAAGGUCCCCCACACUGGUACUGAGACACGGACCAGACUCCUACGGGAGGCAGCAG